ACGUCACUCGCUUUGGAGGCGGGCUCAGCAAGCGGCGCUCCACCGCCAUUGGUCGGGAGCCCUGCAGUAACCAGGGGAACUGCAAACAGUGUAGGGGCAGCUUCCGGUUCGAGCACCCGUAACCGCCGUAACCGCCGCCUUUAAGGAUGGACGAGAUCGGUGCAGAUCCGAACAGAAGCCGGCUCGAGGCUCCACAUCGAACCCCCCGGGGACUACUCGGAAGAUUUUGAGUCGACUGAGGAUGCCGAUGCCAAGACCAUGGAUGUUUCUGGGGAUCGUCCACAGGAGCUGAGAAGAAGCCUGGAACUCAGUGCAAACGCACAGAGGAGACAGGGGGAUUGUCCCAGCAAUGACUAGGACUCUAUCGAAGAAGACGUCACCUCUGAGCCCGAGCCUGAGCCCGAGGGCUGUCCUGGAGGUGACUGCCCUCUGUCCACUGGGGACAAGGAUGCUCCUGAGGACCGGGAGGCAGGUGGACGUCCCCCGCAGGGCCCGGACACCCUCGUCGUGCUGGAAUUUAACCCCGCUUCUCAAAGUGAGUUCUGUCUUCCGUGGCAUUUCGUUGCCUGUGGCGUCGCUGGUUCUAGCAGGAGGGCUUCGGCUUGCAACGCUGUUUUGAGUUGCGCUUCCAGGGUGGAGUUGUCCAUCAGGUCCCUGUUGACUAUGGAAGGAAGACUCCUGGAUGCUUCCUGAGGCGCCUGAAACUCCAGGUGGCAAAUGUCUGGCGAGUACUCGCGGGCGCCGUCCCAAGCCUUGGAGGGAGUGUGGCCGUGUCUCCCUUCCAGUUGGCUCACGCCGGGAAGUUAAGCCAAGGGGACUGUUGCUGGCUCAGAUGACAGUAGGGCUCGUUUCUCUUCUCUUUUUUGGUGCAAAAAAAAAAAAAAAAAAAGCAUUGAAAUCUACACACAAUUUUUUUUUAUAAUAUGCAUUUUCAGUGAACUUUCUCAUGAUCCCUUGUAUGCACUGAUUUCAAAAUGAUCUGCUCCUUUAAUGCCAUUUUCCAUGAAGAUUUUGGGGUUCCCUUCACACUUAAUAAAUGGUAAAGACUCA
Long non-coding RNA from Lepus europaeus (European hare), 1050 nucleotides. RefSeq lists it as uncharacterized. Lineage: Eukaryota; Metazoa; Chordata; Mammalia; Lagomorpha; Leporidae. The record is from RefSeq and is a predicted model, not a curated record. The transcript is spliced from 3 exons.